RNAcentral lists this ribosomal RNA (630 nucleotides) under uncultured Vibrio sp. Its description in RNAcentral is "bacterial SSU rRNA". It matches the Rfam family "Bacterial small subunit ribosomal RNA", at positions 874 to 1501 of the family's 1533-position model. Lineage: Bacteria; Pseudomonadati; Pseudomonadota; Gammaproteobacteria; Vibrionales; Vibrionaceae. The record is from RNAcentral.
UGGGGAGUACGGUCGCAAGAUUAAAACUCAAAUGAAUUGACGGGGGCCCGCACAAGCGGUGGAGCAUGUGGUUUAAUUCGAUGCAACGCGAAGAACCUUACCUACUCUUGACAUCCAGAGAAGCCAGCGGAGACGCAGGUGUGCCUUCGGGAACUCUGAGACAGGUGCUGCAUGGCUGUCGUCAGCUCGUGUUGUGAAAUGUUGGGUUAAGUCCCGCAACGAGCGCAACCCUUAUCCUUGUUUGCCAGCGAGUAAUGUCGGGAACUCCAGGGAGACUGCCGGUGAUAAACCGGAGGAAGGUGGGGACGACGUCAAGUCAUCAUGGCCCUUACGAGUAGGGCUACACACGUGCUACAAUGGCGCAUACAGAGGGCGGCGAACUUGCGAGAGUGAGCGAAUCCCAAAAAGUGCGUCGUAGUCCGGAUUGGAGUCUGCAACUCGACUCCAUGAAGUCGGAAUCGCUAGUAAUCGUAGAUCAGAAUGCUACGGUGAAUACGUUCCCGGGCCUUGUACACACCGCCCGUCACACCAUGGGAGUGGGCUGCAAAAGAAGUGGGUAGUUUAACCUUUCGGGGAGGACGCUCACCACUUUGUGGUUCAUGACUGGGGUGAAGUCGUAACAAGGUAACC